UCCUUCCGGCGGGAAAGAGCUCCUUCCGGUUUCCGGGUGUGGGGAGGAAGUCCCUCCCCCCAUGCAACAGCGUAACAUAGCGGGACGCGCCCGCGGAGUUCUGGAACCAGGAAGUCCGAAAUGAAGGUGUCAGCAGGAUCACGCUUCCUCUGAAACUCUGGGAUGAAUGAAAAUGAUAUCAGAGAAAACCUCAGACCAUCAUGAAUGAAUAAAGAGGACAAACAAAAACCAGAACAGUUCCAAUGGCUACCAGAGAAGAGGUGGAUGGAAGGAUGGGUGAAAUAGAUAAAUGCGAUUAAGAGUAUACUCACCUUGACGAGCCCCGAGAAAGGCACAGAAUCGUCGGAUCAUCAUGUUGUACGCCUGAAACUAAUAUAACAUUGUGGGAUGUCUGGAGAAGACAGGUCUCCGCUGAUGACCGGCAGAAGGAACUGGCACCCCCCCCUGCGCAAACAGGCUGUUGUCCGCUGCUGGACACUGGUGCGGGGCCCACGUGGGCGUGUGCUGUGGCCAUGGGGAGAUCAUCCGCCUCGAAGGCAGGAAUGUAAUCA
Molecule: long non-coding RNA, 551 nt
Organism: Leopardus geoffroyi (Geoffroy's cat)
Lineage: Eukaryota; Metazoa; Chordata; Mammalia; Carnivora; Felidae
Exons: 6
Source: RefSeq, a predicted model, not a curated record